Molecule: ribosomal RNA, 415 nt
Filed under: uncultured bacterium
Lineage: Bacteria
Description: bacterial SSU rRNA
Rfam family: Bacterial small subunit ribosomal RNA
Source: RNAcentral
UGAGGAAUAUUGGGCAAUGCCCGAAAGGGUGACCCAGCAACGCCGCGUGGAGGAUGAAGGUCGUAAGAUUGUAAACUCCUGUUAGAGGGGAAGAAUAACUAAGUUUGGAGCUUAGUAUGACUGUACCCUCAGAGAAAGCCCCGGCUAACUACGUGCCAGCAGCCGCGGUAAUACGUAGGGGGCAAGCGUUGUCCGGAUUUACUGGGUGUAAAGGGCGCGCAGGCGGAAUGGAAAGUCAGUGGUGAAAUCCUACAGCUUAACUGUAGAACUGCCUUUGAUACUUUCAUUCUUGAGUUCGGGAGAGAGAGACGGAAUUCCAGGUGUAGUGGUGAAAUACGUAGAUAUCUGGAAGAACACCUGUUGCAAAGGCGGUCUCUUGGUCCGAUACUGACGCUGAGGCGCGAAAGCGUGGGGA